RNAcentral lists this ribosomal RNA (1212 nucleotides) under metagenome. Its description in RNAcentral is "SSU rRNA". It matches the Rfam family "Eukaryotic small subunit ribosomal RNA", at positions 558 to 1789 of the family's 1831-position model. The record is from RNAcentral.
AGUCUGGUGCCAGCAGCCGCGGUAAUUCCAGCUCCAAUAGCGUAUAUUAAAGUUGUUGUGGUUAAAAAGCUCGUAGUUGGAUCUCAGUUUGAGUCAGGCGGUCCACUUGCCAGUGGCUACUGCCUGACUGAACACUUUACCGAGUUGUCCUAUGGUGUUCUUCACCGAGCGUCAUAGGCGAUCGGUACGUUUACUUUGAAAAAAUUAGAGUGCUCAAAGCAGGCGUAACGCCCGAAUAAUGUUGCAUGGAAUAAUGGAAUAGGACCUCGGUUCUAUUUUGUUGGUCUUCGGAAUCAGAGGUAAUGAUCAAUAGGGACAGACGGGGACAUUCGUAUUGCGGCGCUAGUGGUGAAAUUCUUGGACCGUCGCAAGACGAACUAAAGCGAAAGCAUUUGUCAAGAAUGUUUUCAUUAAUCAAGAACGAAAGUUAGAGGUUCGAAGGCGAUCAGAUACCGCCCUAGUUCUAACCAUAAACGAUGCCAACCAGUAAUUCGUCUGAGUUCCUUAAAUGACUCGACGAGGGACUUCCGGGAAACCAAAGUCUUUCGGUUCCAGGGGAAGUAUGGUUGCAAAGCUGAAACUUAAAGAAAUUGACGGAAGGGCACCACCAGGAGUGGAGCCUGCGGCUUAAUUUGACCCAACACGGGAAAACUCACCCGGCCCGGACACUGGAAGGAUUGACAGAUUGAGAGCUCUUUCUUGAUUCAGUGGGUGGUGGUGCAUGGCCGUUCUUAGUUGGUGGAGUGAUUUGUCUGGUUAAUUCCGAUAACGAACGAGACUCUAGCCUACUAAAUAGAUCGUCGGCUUACAAACGCCGGCGAGACUUCUUAGAGGGACAGGCGGUGAUUCAACCGCACGAAACAGAGCAAUAACAGGUCUGUGAUGCCCUUAGAUGUCCGGGGCCGCACGCGCGCUACACUGAAGUGAUCAGCGUGCUUUUUCAACCUACUCUGUCAAGAGUGGGGAACCCAAUGAACCUUCUUCGUGAUUGGGAUAGGGGAUUGUAAUUAUUCCCCUUGAACGAGGAAUUCCCAGUAAGCGCGAGUCAUAAGCUCGCGUUGAUUACGUCCCUGCCCUUUGUACACACCGCCCGUCGCUACUACCGAUUGAAUGUUUUAGUGAGGUCUUCGGACUGGCCGGCGCAGCACUCUCGUAGUGCAGCGCUGUGUUUGGAAAGAUGCCCAAACUUGAACAUUUAGAGGAAGUAAAAGU